Girardinichthys multiradiatus is the source of this 732-nucleotide long non-coding RNA. RefSeq lists it as uncharacterized. The transcript has 2 exons. NCBI's taxonomy places the organism in Eukaryota, Metazoa, Chordata, Actinopteri, Cyprinodontiformes, Goodeidae. The record is from RefSeq and is a predicted model, not a curated record.
AAAAACAGUUUAUCCAAAUAGUUUUCCACAUUCCUCCCAUUUCUGUUUUUUUUUUUCCUUGAAAGAUAUGCUUUCCUCCUUCCCUUCUCUCCCUUUUUUACAUGCCUACCCCGCCUCUGCUUGUUCUGCCUUCCUCUUCUUUUCUUCUGCUCUCAUCGAAAUUCCGCUGUGUAAUUCCCUCUCUGAGGACACCCAUUGAUCUCUCCCCUUCCUGCACCAUUUGAGAAAAUGCAGGGCGGGCAAAGCUUGGAUUCUGAAACGUCAGAAAAGAGAGCAGCAGAGGAGGAGGACGGAGAAGGACGACACAGGCAAACUGAAGAACGAGGGAAAGAAAAAAGAAAAAAGAUCAUAUCUCCUCCCCGUAUCUCGAUGCUCGUGGACUCAUCAGACUCCUCACCUUGUGAAACUGCAUCUGGUGUGUGACUGAUCAUCUGGCUCUUGUGCCACGCUUGUUUUCACUCUGCAAAAAGAGAAGCCAUUUUCUCUCAAAUGAAGCUCACAAGGGCCCGUUCACAAGACAGAGGACAGAGCAGCUUGUGUGUGUACGUAUGUGCGGGGGGGGGGGGUUCUCUCUUCCCUUUCCUGUCUCAUUGUUCCAUGUGUGUGUGUGUGUGUGUGUGUGUGUGUGUGCUGACAGUAAGUAUAGUGACGGAUGCCCCUCUUCCCUCAUUCUUGAUGCCUUUAGUGAGGCGGACUCCCGCAUUAAAAAACAAAUAAACUGCCACAUAAAGA